CAGCAGCCACGGUAAUACGAAGGGUGCAAGCGUUACUCGGAAUUACUGGGCGUAAAGCGUGCGUAGGCGGUGAGUUAAGUCUGCUGUGAAAUCCCCGGGCUCAACCUGGGAAUGGCAGUGGAUACUGGCUCGCUAGAGUGUGUCAGAGGAUGGUGGAAUUCCCGGUGUAGCGGUGAAAUGCGUAGAGAUCGGGAGGAACAUCAGUGGCGAAGGCGGCCAUCUGGGACAACACUGACGCUGAGGCACGAAAGCGUGGGGAGCAAACAGGAUUAGAUACCCCCGUAGUCCCUGUCUCUUAUAC
This 301-nucleotide ribosomal RNA is filed under the name uncultured bacterium. RNAcentral's name for it is "partial 16S ribosomal RNA". It matches the Rfam family "Bacterial small subunit ribosomal RNA", at positions 509 to 807 of the family's 1533-position model. The record is from RNAcentral.